CGUGCACCAGUGGGGUCCCUCAGCCUGGCCUGUGGGAUCGGGCCGAAACCAACUUUCCAACAUCUUCCAAGGGGUCCUAGAUUGUGAGAAGGUGCAGGCAAGGCUGAGGGACCCCACUGGUGCACA
Molecule: microRNA precursor, 126 nt
Filed under: Myotis brandtii (Brandt's bat)
Lineage: Eukaryota; Metazoa; Chordata; Mammalia; Chiroptera; Vespertilionidae
Description: mir-9193 microRNA precursor family
Source: Rfam by way of RNAcentral